CCUACGGGAGACAGCAGUGGGGAAUAUUGGACAAUGGGCGAAAGCCUGAUCCAGCAAUGCCGCGUGAGUGAUGAAGGCCUUAGGGUUGUAAAGCUCUUUUACCAGGGAUGAUAAUGACAGUACCUGGAGAAUAAGCUCCGGCUAACUCCGUGCCAGCAGCCGCGGUAAUACGGAGGGAGCUAGCGUUGUUCGGAAUUACUGGGCGUAAAGCGUACGUAGGCGGUUAUUCAAGUCAGAGGUGAAAGCCUGGAGCUCAACUCCAGAACUGCCUUUGAAACUAGAUAGCUAGAAUCUUGGAGAGGUGAGUGGAAUUCCGAGUGUAGAGGUGAAAUUCGUAGAUAUUCGGAAGAACACCAGUGGCGAAGGCGACUCACUGGACAAGUAUUGACGCUGAGGUACGAAAGCGUGGGGAGCAAACAGGAUUAGAUACCCUGGUAGUCCACGCCGUAAACGAUGAUAACUAGCUGUUCGGGCUCUACGAGCUUGAGUGGCGCAGCUAACGCAUUAAGUUAUCCGCCUGGGGAGUACGGUCGCAAGAUUAAAACUCAAAGGAAUUGACGG
This 561-nucleotide ribosomal RNA is filed under the name uncultured bacterium. RNAcentral's name for it is "bacterial SSU rRNA". It matches the Rfam family "Bacterial small subunit ribosomal RNA", at positions 338 to 916 of the family's 1533-position model. The record is from RNAcentral.